RNAcentral lists this ribosomal RNA (253 nucleotides) under uncultured bacterium. Its description in RNAcentral is "partial 16S ribosomal RNA". It matches the Rfam family "Bacterial small subunit ribosomal RNA", at positions 524 to 776 of the family's 1533-position model. The record is from RNAcentral.
UACGGAGGGUGCAAGCGUUGCUCGGAAUUAUUGGGCGUAAAGGGUAGGUAGGUGGUCUCACUUGUUUGAGGUGAAAGCCUCGGGCUUAACCCGAGAAGUGCCUCAAAAACGGUGAGACUUGAGUCCUGGAGAGGGUUGUGGAAUUCCCGGUGUAGCGGUGAAAUGCGUAGAGAUCGGGAGGAACACCAGAGGCGAAGGCGGCAACCUGGACAGGCACUGACACUCAACUACGAAAGCGUGGGGAUCAAACAGG